AUGAAAGCUUGCUCGGCCCCAGGGCCCGAUGGCCUUCCUGUAGUCUUCUUCCAGAAAUUCUGGGAGAUCUUGCGUCCGGUCAUUAUGCCCAUGUUCCAUGAGUUUUAUAUUGGAACUUUGGACAUGGCUGGGAUUAACUAUCGUGUCAUAUCUCUUAUCCCCAAAGUUGUUGGGGCUACGGAUAUUCGGCAAUUCCAUCCCAUCACGAUGAUCAAUGUGUUGGAGGGAAUCUUUGCGAAGGUUUGCGCGACCCAUUUGUCCCCCGUGGCGGAAAGGAUUUCCCACCCCCUUCAGUCCGUGUUCCUGAAGGGCCGGCGGAUCCAUGACGGGAUUCUUGCCCUUCAUGAGAUUGUCCAUGAGGUGGCGUCGAAGGGGCUUAAGGGGGUCUUCCUCAAAUUGGACUUCCAAAAGGCAUAUGACCGUUUGGACUGGUCCUUUUUGAGGUUGGUGGUGCAGCGACGAGGAUUUGACGAGCGGUGGUGCUCCUAG
Molecule: ribosomal RNA, 489 nt
Filed under: Triticum aestivum (bread wheat)
Lineage: Eukaryota; Viridiplantae; Streptophyta; Magnoliopsida; Poales; Poaceae
Description: partial small subunit ribosomal RNA
Source: RNAcentral